AUCCAGCUGACGAGUUUCAAAUAGGACGAAACAUUUGUCCUGGAU
Schistosoma rodhaini is the source of this 45-nucleotide non-coding RNA. Lineage: Eukaryota; Metazoa; Platyhelminthes; Trematoda; Strigeidida; Schistosomatidae. The record is from Rfam.